RNAcentral lists this long non-coding RNA (1780 nucleotides) under Anser brachyrhynchus (Pink-footed goose). RNAcentral's name for it is "lncRNA (ENSABRG00000012923.1)". Lineage: Eukaryota; Metazoa; Chordata; Aves; Anseriformes; Anatidae. The record is from RNAcentral.
ACCAGGAGCACCUGAUGGGCACCGCGGGCACCCAACGGCAACCCAACAGGCACCCAGUGGCCACCAUGGGCACCCAACGGGCACCACAGGCACCCAACGGCAACCCAACGGGCACCCAACAUCGACCCAAGGGCACCCAACAGCCACCAGGAGCACCCAACGGGCACCGCGGGCACCCGACGGCAACCCGACGGGCACCCAAUGGCCAUCGCGGGCACCCAACAUCGACCCAAGGGCACCCGACGGCAACCCAACAGCCACUGGGGGCACCCAACGGCAACCCAAGGGCACCCAAUGGCCAUUGCAGGCACCCAACGGCCACCAGAAGCACCCAGCGGCAACCCAAGGGCCACCACGGGCACCCAACAAUAACCCAAGGGCACCCAACGGCAACCCAACAGGCACCCAACAGCCACCAUGGGCACCCAACGGCCACCAGAAGCACCCAACGAGCACCCAACAGCAACCCAAGGGCCACCACAGGCACCCAAUGCCAACCCAACGGACACCCAACAGCCACCAGGAGCACCCAACGGCAACCCAACAGCCACUGUGGGCACCCAACGGCAACCCAGAGGCACCCAAUGGCCAUUGCAGGCACCCAACAUUGACCCAAGGGCACCCAACAGCCACCACGGGCACCCAGCAGGCACCAGAAGCACCCAAAGGCAACCCAAGGGCCACCAAGGGCACACAACGUCAACCCAAAGGGCACCCAACGGGCACCAAGGGCACCCAACGGGCACCCAAUGGCCACCCAAUGGCCACUGUGGGCACCCAACAGCCACCCAACGGCCACCAGGAGCACCCAACGGCAACCCAAUGGCCACCAUGGGCACCCAACAGCAACACAAGGGCACCCAAUGGCACCCGACAUCAACCCAACGGGCACCCAACAGCCACCGCAGGCACCCAGCGGGCACCAGGGACACCCAACGGCAACCCAACGGGCACCCAACAGCCACUGUGGGCACCCAACGGCAACCCAAGGGCACCCAAUGGCCAUCACGGGCACACAACAUCAACCCAAGGGCACCCAACGGGCACCCAAUGGCAACCCAACAGCCACUGUGGGCACCCAACGGACACCCAACGGCCACCAGAAGCACCCAACGGCAACCCAAGGGCCACCAUGGGCACCCAACAGGCACCCAAUGGCCACGAGGAGCACCCAACCACCAUCAGGGGCACCCAACAGGCACCCAACAGCCACUGUGGGCACCUAACGGCAACCCAAUGGGCACCCAGUGGCCACCAGGAGCACCCAACAGCAACCCAAGGACCACCAGGGGCACCCAAGGGCCACUGUGGCCAACCAACGAGCACCCAAUGGCCACUGGGGGCACCCAACGCCCACCGCGGGCAACCAACGUCAACCCGAUGGUCACCAGGGGCACCCAACAGCAACCCAAGGGGCACCCAAAGGCUACCGGGGGCACCCAACGCCAAUCCAACGGCCACCAUGGGCACCCAACGGCAACCCAACAGGCACCCAACAGCCACCGUGGCCAGCCAAUGGGCACCCAAUGGCCACUGGGGGCACCCAAUGGCCACCUUGGCCAACCAACGAGCGCCCAAUGGCCACUGGGGGCACCCAACGGCAACACAACGGCCACUGGGGGCACCCAAGAGGCACCGUGGGUGCCCAACAUCGACCCAAGGGGCACCCAAUGGCCACUGAGGGCACCCAACGGCAAGCCAAUGGGCACCCAAGGGCCACCAGGAGCACCCAACAGCCACCAUGGCCAACCAGUGGGCACCCAAUGGCCACCGGGGGCAC